RNAcentral lists this ribosomal RNA (880 nucleotides) under uncultured Lachnoclostridium sp. RNAcentral describes it as "bacterial SSU rRNA". It matches the Rfam family "Bacterial small subunit ribosomal RNA", at positions 1 to 832 of the family's 1533-position model. The record is from RNAcentral. Lineage: Bacteria; Bacillati; Bacillota; Clostridia; Lachnospirales; Lachnospiraceae.
UUNGGNGCUCUCCCAUAUGGUCGNACCUGCAGGCGGCCGCGAAUUCACUAGUGAUUAGAGUUUGAUCCUGGCUCAGGAUGAACGCUGGCGGCGUGCCUAACACAUGCAAGUCGAACGAAGCAAUUAAAGGAAGUUUUCGGAUGGAAUUUGAUUGACUGAGUGGCGGACGGGUGAGUAACGCGUGGAUAACCUGCCUCACACUGGGGGAUAACAGUUAGAAAUGACUGCUAAUACCGCAUAAGCGCACAGUACCGCAUGGUACGGUGUGAAAAACUCCGGUGGUGUGAGAUGGAUCCGCGUCUGAUUAGCCAGUUGGCGGGGUAACGGCCCACCAAAGCGACGAUCAGUAGCCGACCUGAGAGGGUGACCGGCCACAUUGGGACUGAGACACGGCCCAAACUCCUACGGGAGGCAGCAGUGGGGAAUAUUGCACAAUGGGCGAAAGCCUGAUGCAGCGACGCCGCGUGAGUGAAGAAGUAUUUCGGUAUGUAAAGCUCUAUCAGCAGGGAAGAAAAUGACGGUACCUGACUAAGAAGCCCCGGCUAACUACGUGCCAGCAGCCGCGGUAAUACGUAGGGGGCAAGCGUUAUCCGGAUUUACUGGGUGUAAAGGGAGCGUAGACGGCGAANCAAGUCUGAAGUGAAAACCCAGGGCUCAACCCUGGGACUGCUUUGGAAACUGUUUUGCUAGAGUGUCGGAGAGGUAAGUGGAAUUCCUAGUGUAGCGGUGAAAUGCGUAGAUAUUANAANGAACACCAGUGGCGAAGGCGGCUUACUGNACGAUAACUGACGUUGAGGCUCNAAAGCGUGGGGGAGCAAACAGGNAUUAGAUACCCUGNNAGUCCACGCCGUAAACGAUGAAUGCUAGGNUGNUGGGGGGC